AUAGUAGUCCCUCUGUUUCAAAUUAUUGUCCUUCAUUUGUCUAGAUAUGAAUGUAUCUAGUCACGUUUUAGUAUUUGGAUACAUCAAUUUUUAGACAAACCUAAGACAAGAAUUUUAAAACGGAAGGAGUAGAUG
RNAcentral lists this microRNA precursor (135 nucleotides) under Hordeum vulgare. RNAcentral describes it as "microRNA MIR1122". It matches the Rfam family "MIR1120/MIR1122 microRNA precursor family". The record is from RNAcentral. Lineage: Eukaryota; Viridiplantae; Streptophyta; Magnoliopsida; Poales; Poaceae.